UACGUAGGCAGCGAGCGUUGUUCGGAAUUACUGGGCGUAAAGAGUGCGUAGGCGGUGCUCUAAGUUCGGUGUGAAAUCUCCCGGCUUAACUGGGAGGGUGCGCCGGAAACUGGAGUGCUCGAACGUGGGAGAGGAAAGCGGAAUUCCUGGUGUAGCGGUGAAAUGCGUAGAUAUCAGGAGGAACACCUGCGGUGUAGACGGCUUUCUGGACCAUUGUUGACGCUGAGACACGAAAGCGUGGGUAGCAAACAGG
RNAcentral lists this ribosomal RNA (253 nucleotides) under uncultured bacterium. Its description in RNAcentral is "partial 16S ribosomal RNA". It matches the Rfam family "Bacterial small subunit ribosomal RNA", at positions 524 to 776 of the family's 1533-position model. The record is from RNAcentral.